GAUGAACGCUGGCGGCGUGCUUAACACAUGCAAGUCGAACGAUCGCAAGAUAGUGGCGCACGGGUGAGGAACACGUAGCUAACCUGCCUUUGGGUCUGGGAUAACGUCGCGAAAGUGACGCUAAGACCGGAUAAGCUCCCGGGUUGUAGAGACCAGAGAGAAAAGGGGCAAGACGCCCGAAGAGGGGCUGCGGCGCAUCAGCUAGUUGGUGGGGUAAAGGCUUACCAAGGCAACGACGCGUAAGGGGUCUGAGAGGAUGAUCCCUCACACUGGGACUGAGACACGGCCCAGACUCCUACGGGAGGCAGCAGUGAGGAAUAUUGCACAAUGGGGGCAACCCUGAUGCAGCGACGCCGCGUGGGUGAUGACGGCCU
RNAcentral lists this ribosomal RNA (374 nucleotides) under uncultured bacterium. RNAcentral's name for it is "bacterial SSU rRNA". It matches the Rfam family "Bacterial small subunit ribosomal RNA", at positions 28 to 417 of the family's 1533-position model. The record is from RNAcentral.